Molecule: ribosomal RNA, 194 nt
Filed under: uncultured bacterium
Lineage: Bacteria
Description: partial 16S ribosomal RNA
Rfam family: Bacterial small subunit ribosomal RNA
Source: RNAcentral
GUAGUCUGCAACCCGACUACAUGAAGCUGGAAUCGCUAGUAAUCGCAGGUCAGCAUACUGCGGUGAAUACGUUCCCGGGCCUUGUACACACUGCCCGUCAAGCCAUGGGAGUCGGGAGUGCCUGAAGUUCGUGACCGUCACAGGAGCGACCUAAGGCAAGACCGAUGACUGGGGCUAAGUCGUAACAAGGUAGC